AUUUGUCCAUCAUCUCACGCCCCUACACCCGAGCCCAGAAGAGACCCAUCGCCCAAAUUUGAUCUCCCCCCACCUCGUUCUCUCUCGCUCCCUCGCUCUAUCGCUCUCUACAUUUCAAAAGCAGGGAAUUGGAUCUAUCUAUUGCCAUGAUCAACUAGAUCAUAUAUAUAUAUAUACACACACAGUUAUAGAUUCAUAUAUAAGGAUAGAUUCAUAUAUAGGUGAAAAUGGACUCGGUCUCGAUCCGGGUGCCUUACAAGAAUCUGAGACAGGAAGUAGAAUUGGUGGGUUUGGAGGAAGCUCAACCUCAUCAUCAUCAGAUUGAGGUUGAUGAGAAAUCAAGGUUUUCAAAUGGAAUCGACUCCGAUCUGCCUUCCAGUUCUUCUCCCUCUCAUCCCCCACCGAAGCAUGCCGCUUUGGCGACCUUGAUUCUCAGUUGCACCGUCGCCGCCGGUGUUCAAUUCGGUUGGGCUUUGCAACUCUCUCUUCUCACUCCUUACAUUCAGACGCUUGGAAUACAACAUGCUUUUUCUUCAUUUAUCUGGCUUUGUGGCCCUAUUACAGGCCUUGUGGUUCAACCUUGUGUAGGUAUUUGGAGUGAUAAAUGCACUUCCAAAUAUGGAAGAAGACGCCCGUUUAUUCUUGUUGGAUCUGUCAUGAUCUCAGCUGCUGUGAUAAUAAUUGGUUUUUCAGCAGACAUUGGAUAUAUCUUAGGGGACACAAAGGAGCAUUGCAGCACAUACAAAGGUACUCGAACAAGGGCAGCUUUAGUCUUCAUCAUUGGGUUUUGGAUGCUAGAUCUUGCUAAUAAUACUGUGCAGGGCCCUGCACGUGCUCUUCUGGCUGAUUUGUCGGGACCGGAACAACGAAAUUCUGCAAAUGCUAUAUUUUGCUCAUGGAUGGCUGUUGGAAACAUCCUAGGGUUCUCUGCUGGCGCUAGUGGAAAUUGGAACAGGUGGUUUCCUUUCCUGAAAAGUAGAGCCUGCUGUGAUGCCUGUGGAAAUCUUAAGGCAGCAUUUCUAGUUGCAGUGGUUUUCCUUACUUUAUGUACACUGGUGACCCUCUAUUUUGCAAAGGAGGUUCCAUUAACACCAAUACAUCCUCACCGUUUAUCAGAUUCUGCUCCUCUCUUGGAUGGUUCUCAACAGAUGGUCUCUGACCUUUCAAAAUCUCAGCCUGAUACAUAUGUAGUUAACAAUGCUUUGGGCAACAAGUCGGGGAGUAGUUAUGAAAUGGAUAGAAAUUUAAAGAAGCCAGACUCAAACAAUGAGAAAGACCAAAGUGAAAGUUUCAGUGAUAGCCCCGGAGCAGUCUUGGUCAAUUUGUUAACCAGCUUAAGGCAUUUACCACCAGCCAUGCAUUCAGUACUUAUUGUCAUGGCUCUUACCUGGUUGGCCUGGUUUCCCUUUUUCCUUUUCGAUACGGAUUGGAUGGGGAGAGAAGUUUAUCAUGGGAACCCAAAAGGAGAUGUCUCUGAAGUUGAAGCUUAUGAUCAAGGUGUCAGAGAAGGUGCAUUCGGUUUGCUAUUGAAUUCAGUUGUUCUUGGCAUUAGCUCUUUCUUGAUUGAGCCAAUGUGUCAGUGGAUGGGUGCAAGACUUGUUUGGGCAAUUAGCAAUUUUAUAGUGUUUGCUUGCAUGGCUUGCACUGCUAUAAUCAGUUUGGUUUCAGUGAGAGAGUAUUCCAACGGGAUUCAGCAUGUAAUUGGAGGAAAUGAAGCAAUUAAGAUUGCCUCCUUGGUGGUUUUUGCUCUUCUUGGCUUUCCUCUUGCUAUCACUUAUAGUGUUCCCUUCUCUGUUACCGCGGAGUUGACUGCUGAUUCAGGAGGUGGUCAAGGCUUGGCCAUAGGGGUCCUAAAUCUUGCAAUUGUCAUACCUCAGAUGGUUAUAUCCCUUGGUGCGGGUCCAUGGGAUGCUCUAUUUGGUGGAGGAAAUAUACCUGCAUUUGUUUUGGCUUCCUUGAGUGCCUUUGCAGCUGGGGUUAUUGCAACUCUUAAGCUGCCAGACCUUUCGAACAAUUUCAAACCAUCUGGUUUCCAUUUUGGCUGACUUGCUUUCUCCGUGAGAUGACCAACUUGUAUAUGAUCCUCUACCAUGAGAACAAAUCCAGGCGAUUUACUUUCCAGAGAAAUGGCUGCUACGAGAGAGGAAUUGGGAGGUGUCACCUGUUCUCUCUGAUGGAAGCCUCUGUUCGUCAUUAUCGAAGACUCAAUGUUUGGUUCUCACCUUCUCAACUGUGGCAGUUUCUUUGUAGAUCUGUCGAGUUUUUUUUAUGAGUACUUAGAACUACAACAAAUAUCCAACCUUAGCACGAGAUCUUUUAUUUUCAAAUCUCUCAAUUUUAGCGUCUUUAAUGCACUCUUAAUCAUUGAAUUAUGUCUUGAAUUUUACAUAUUUUAAGAUUUUUGCACAACUCAA
Camellia sinensis is the source of this 2414-nucleotide RNA transcript. It is a transcript of the gene named sucrose transporter 2, with no coding region annotated. Lineage: Eukaryota; Viridiplantae; Streptophyta; Magnoliopsida; Ericales; Theaceae. The record is from RefSeq and is a predicted model, not a curated record.